Molecule: ribosomal RNA, 478 nt
Filed under: uncultured bacterium
Lineage: Bacteria
Description: bacterial SSU rRNA
Rfam family: Bacterial small subunit ribosomal RNA
Source: RNAcentral
UCGAAAGAUGUGCUACUACCGCAUAUUCUCUGAGGAGGAAAGUAGGGGAUCGAAAGACCUUAUGCUUUUGGAGCGGCCGAUGUCUGAUUAGCUAGUUGGUAAGGUAAUGGCUUACCAAGGCGACGAUCAGUAGUUGGUCUGAGAGGACGGCCAGCCACACUGGGACUGAGACACGGCCCAGACUCCUACGGGAGGCAGCAGUGGGGAAUUUUGGACAAUGGGGGCAACCCUGAUCCAGCCAUGCCGCGUGAGUGAAGAAGGCCUUCGGGUUGUAAAGCUCUUUCAGCCGGAACGAAACGGUCACGGCCAAUACCCGUGACUAAUGACGGUACCGGAAGAAGAAGCACCGGCUAACUACGUGCCAGCAGCCGCGGUAAUACGUAGGGUGCGAGCGUUAAUCGGAAUUACUGGGCGUAAAGCGUGCGCAGGCGGUUUUGUAAGUCAGAUGUGAAAGCCCCGGGCUUAACCUGGGAACUGC